GUGCUUGCUUUGGCAGCACAUAUUCUAAAAACGGAACCACAGAGAAAGGCUUAGGAUGGCCCCUGCACAAGGAUGACACACAUUUGUGAAGUGUUCCAUAGCUUU
RNAcentral lists this small nuclear RNA (105 nucleotides) under Dasypus novemcinctus (nine-banded armadillo). Lineage: Eukaryota; Metazoa; Chordata; Mammalia; Cingulata; Dasypodidae. The record is from RNAcentral.